UGGAUGAAGUAAAAGAUCAGAAGCUCCAGUGCAGUGACGGGGACACGUCGUCUCACGGCAGUAAUUGAAUAUCUUCUGACAGUUGACAGAAGGGCAGGGGUUUUAGCCGGAGACCUCGUAAGUUCCCAAACUGUCGUUCUCGUCCUGGCCCCCUGUUUAUCCCCUUAAAGCUGAUACACAGCCCUUCUAAUCCCACUAGCCCUGUUUCGGCACAGAAGACUUCCAUACUAAAAAUGAGCUACAUAACAGCAGUAACCACAACAAUAAUAAUAACUUUAAAAAAAAACAUCUAUAUGGUCGUGUACAAUAGAAAUAUGUAUAAAGUACGGGAACAUCCAGAACAGAUCCAGUUUGUGGCUGGUCAGGUUAAUAUACACCCUCUGAAGCGUCCCAUCAGAGAAUCGCACCUGAAACGCCGUGCUACAGUUCGGUAGUCACUGAACUGCACUAUUUCCCAAUCUCUAAGUAAUAUCUGUUUUAAACAAAGAUUGUUUAAACACUGGAAAUGGUCGUUCUGUGUAAUUUUUGUGUAUGUGUAAUUUUCAGUAAAUAGCCUAUGAGGAGAUUUAAGAGUGUGCGACCUCGCUUAUGCCAUAUAAAACAAACGUAGAGAUUCAAAAUACGGCCGGUGUAUGAGCGUCACAAUGCACUUUGUAAUCUACAUUGGAACGAUGAGCACUUUCCAAUGGUAGGCCUACAGAGCCAAAUAAUAAUCCCUUUCUUGAUAAAAGCCUGUUAAAUUGAUAUCCAUACAAAGGACAGUGUUGCUCUGAGCGACCUGCUGCUAUGGCUGACCACGUGUUGCUUUAGAGGAGACUGAUUUCUCCUGCUGUCGCCGGUAAACCCUCGGUAAUCUGGUCAUGCGGGACUUGGCAUUCGCGCGUGACUACUCCAGGUGCAUUUUCUUGUGUGAGAAUUGACGUGUUAAAGACGUACCUCGUUUUCACGGUAGCUGAACUGUGGGCGUUUUCUACAGCAGCUGGCCGAGUGUCUAAUCUCCGUAAAAGCCUUGACCUGGCCGGAGAGAGACACAAACAACUUCAAAAUCUGCAGGUAUCCAGACUACUGUCACGAUUGGAAGAGCGAGCACACUGCUCAGUAGAAAGUUAACUGCAAUGCGCAAUUAUGGGCAUGGUUUAAUUACGAUACAAUAAUUUAAACAUCCGUCGGACAGACACAUUUCAAUUCUACGGAGUGUUACGUACAGGCCUACACCCGGAAGGAGGGCAUUUAGUGAAGAACAGAAUUAACGAUUUAUCGUCGGGGAUUUUUCUUUGCUAAAAGAUGCCACUACUCACAGAACUGUUUCCCCAGCGGAGCAAACCAUCUCGAAGCGCUAAGAAGGCGCACGGCAGGGCGGGAGGCCUUGGUGUCUGCGUCCUACCCAGCAUCCCAGAAAGCCCCGCACUCCAGGUGCCGAAGCGCUCUCCAGCGCAGACCAGAGCCGCUCCGUUCCUCUGCAAACUUCCACUCAGGAAAAUCUUCUCGCCCAGAGCGUCCGCGUCCGGCAGCAAGGCAGUGAUGGACUCUUUCAUCUACGAAAACUGGCGGGUCCAUCCCCGCGGCCCCGCACCCCGGUGGGCGUUUGAGGACGACCGAGCGCGCGGGCGGGAAUCCCUCUGCGAAAGGCUGGAUAAACGCCCGGGCGAGGACGCGCAUAAGCGCUCCGUCUCCCGAGAAGGUCUCGGUGACCAGCGCCAUGGCAACGGGGCAAGGCGUCGCUGCUCCGCCGUUAUCAGGGGGGGCCGAUCCAAGGGCCGCAAACGGAAGGAGGGCCACGCCCUCGCGGAGCCGGGAAAAGAGAUGAAGUCUUUGAGCAUCCGUGACUUUUACAAGCGCUGCAAGAUUGACUGUUGGAAAAAAAUUAACGGCUGCAGCGUUUUCAAAGCCUGAAUCGGCCAUCUACUGAAGCGUUUAAAAAAAAUUAUUUUAAGCCUCAAAACAAUUGUCCUUUUUACUUAAACAUAAUAAAGUUGCAAUUAAUAAAUUC
Molecule: long non-coding RNA, 1990 nt
Organism: Anguilla rostrata (American eel)
Lineage: Eukaryota; Metazoa; Chordata; Actinopteri; Anguilliformes; Anguillidae
Exons: 2
Source: RefSeq, a predicted model, not a curated record